AAAAGCUUUCUUUAAUUGAAUAAUUGAAUUUAAUUUUUUAGUGCAAAAGCAAAAAUAAAAAUUAGGGACAAGAAGACCCUAUGAAUUUUUUAUUAAAUUUUAUAAAACUUUAUAUAAAAUUUAAUUUAAUUGGGGUGAUGGAAAAAGAAUAAAUAUCUUUUUUUUUAAAAAAAUUGGUUCCGUUUUUAGCGAUUAAAUGAAAAAAAUACUCUAGGGAUAACAGCGUAAUAAUUUUGGAUAGUUCAUAUAGAUAAAAUAGUUUGCGACCUCGAUGUUGGAUUAGGAUUCUUUUUUGGUGAAGAAGUUAAAAAAAGAAGUUUGUUCAACUUAUAAUUUCCUACUUGAUCUGAGUUCAGACCGG
RNAcentral lists this ribosomal RNA (361 nucleotides) under Ixodes ricinus (castor bean tick). RNAcentral describes it as "partial 16S ribosomal RNA". The stretch from base 66 to 361 matches the Rfam family "Bacterial large subunit ribosomal RNA", at positions 2078 to 2619 of the family's 2925-position model. Lineage: Eukaryota; Metazoa; Arthropoda; Arachnida; Ixodida; Ixodidae. The record is from RNAcentral.